RNAcentral lists this ribosomal RNA (1391 nucleotides) under uncultured organism. RNAcentral's name for it is "bacterial SSU rRNA". It matches the Rfam family "Bacterial small subunit ribosomal RNA". The record is from RNAcentral.
UGCUGGGAGCGGCAAACGGGUGAGUAUAACGUGGGAAUCUACCUCAAAGUCAAGAAUAACUUCGAGAAAUCAAAGCUAAUACUUGAUGGUCCCGAAAGGGUAAAGAUUUAUCGCUUUGAGAAGAGCCCACGCACUAUCAGCUUGUUGGUAAGGUAAAAGCUUACCAAGGCUAUGACGGUUAGGAGGCCCGAGAGGGUGUUCUCCCACAUUGGCACUUAGACACUGGCCAAACUCCUACGGGAGGCUGCAGUCGAGAAUCUUCGUCAAUGCGCGAAAGCGUGAACGAGCGACGCCGCGUGAAUGAUGACGCCCUUCGGGGUGUAAAAUUCUUUUAUUAGGGAGAAACUUUGAUAUUACCUAAUGAAUAAGAGGUUGCUAACUCUGUGCCAGCAGCAGCGGUAAUACAGAGACCUCAAGCGUUAUCCGGAUUUAUUGGGCGUAAAGCGUCUGUAGGCGGAACAAAUAGUCAGAUGUUAAAUUUUAGGGCUCAACCCUAAAACCGCAUUUGAAACGUUUGUUCUAGAGGAUGGUAGAGGCAAAUAGAACUUAUGGUGUAGCAGUAAAAUGCGUUGAUAUUAUAAGGAAUACCAAAGGCGAAGGCAUUUUGCUGGACCAUUUCUGACGCUGAGAGACGAAAGCGUGGGUAGCGAAUGGGAUUAGAUACCCCAGUAGUCCACGCCGUAAACGAUGGAUAUUAGACAUUAGGAGUGUCGACCCUUUUAGUGUCGAAGCUAACGCAUUAAAUAUCCCGCCUGGGAAGUACGGUCGCAAGACUAAAACUCAAAGGAAUAGACGGGGACCUGCACAAGCGGUGGAGCAUGUGGUUUAAUUCGAUGAUAAACGAGGAACCUUACCAAGGCUUGAAAUCUCUAGAAUCCCCGAGAAACCGGGGAGUGCCGCAAGGAACUAGAUGACAGGUGCUGCAUGGUUGCCGUCAGCUCGUGCCGUGAGGUGUUCGGUUAAGUCCAGUAACGAGCGCAACCCCUUUCAAAUGUUGUAUUUCUCAUUUGAGACUGCCCGGGUUAACCGGGAGGAAGGCGGGGACGACGUCAAAUCAGCAUGGCCCUUGACGCCUUGGGCUACACACAUGCUACAAUGGAAAGUAACAAAGGGUUGCCAAACCGAAAGGUGGAGCUAAUCCCGACAAAACUUUUCUCAGUUCGGAUUGAGGGCUGCAACUCGCCCUCAUGAAGUUGGAAUCGCUAGUAAUCGUAAAUCAGCUAUAUUACGGUGAAUACGUUCUCAGGUCUUGUACUCACCGCCCGUCACACCAAUAGAGUCGGUAAUACCCGAAGUCCCUCUUUUUAAGGGGGCCCACGGUAGGAUCGGUAAUAAGGGUGAAGUCGUAACAAGGUAUCCGUAGCGGAAGCUGUGGAUGGAUCACCUCCUUU